RNAcentral lists this ribosomal RNA (253 nucleotides) under uncultured bacterium. RNAcentral's name for it is "partial 16S ribosomal RNA". It matches the Rfam family "Bacterial small subunit ribosomal RNA", at positions 524 to 776 of the family's 1533-position model. The record is from RNAcentral.
UACAGAGGUCUCAAGCGUUGUUCGGAAUCACUGGGCGUAAAGGGUGCGUAGGCCGCACGGUAAGUCAGAGGUGAAAUCCCGGAGCUCAACUUCGGAAUUGCCUCCGAUACUGCCGUGCUUGAGGACUGGAGAGGAGAUUGGAAUUCACAGUGGAGCAGUGAAAUGCGUAGAUAUUGUGAGGAACACCAGUGGCGAAGGCGGCUUCCUGGCCUGUAACUGACGCUGAGACGCGAAAGCGUGGGGAGCGAACCGG